Molecule: ribosomal RNA, 379 nt
Filed under: Rumina decollata
Lineage: Eukaryota; Metazoa; Mollusca; Gastropoda; Stylommatophora; Subulinidae
Description: partial 12S ribosomal RNA
Source: RNAcentral
UCUAAUAGAAAUCUUUUUAAGCCUAAGCAGUACAAUGACUAAUAUCAUUAAAACUUAAAAAUUGUGGCGGCAGCUUAAACACUCAGGGGAACUUACCAUGUAAUUGACAACCAACAAGAGGUCCUCACCUGCUUUCAUAAUUAGUAUACCGCCGUCUUUAAACUCUCUUAAGGGGAGCUUAAAAGAAUAUACCAUUAAAAAGACAGGUCAUGGUGCUGUAAAUGGCCAGGAAUAUAAGGUGAGUUACAAUACCCAAGACUAGUACAGAUUAAAAUCUUAAAAUUUUUAUGAAGGAGGACUUGAUUGUAAGGCAUAUUUCUUUGCUUAUUAUAACUUACUAAUAUAAACAAUUAAGGCUUGAAAAAGAAUUAGGCUGUGC